UCGGGAAUUUUGGGCAAUGGGCGAAAGCCUGACCCAGCAACGCCGCGUGAGGGAUGAAGUAUUUCGGUAUGUAAACCUCGAAAGAAUGGGAAGAAUAAAUGACGGUACCAUUUAUAAGCUCCGGCUAACUACGUGCCAGCAGCCGCGGUAAUACGUAGGGAGCAAGCGUUGUUCGGAUUUACUGGGCGUAAAGGGCGCGUAGGCGGCGCGGUAAGUCACUUGUGAAAUCUCUGAGCUUAACUCAGAACGGCCAAGUGAUACUGCUGUGCUAGAGUGCGGAAGAGGCAACCGGAAUUCUUGGUGUAGCGGUGAAAUGCAUAGAUAUCAAGAGGAACACCUGAGGCGAAGGCGGGUUGCUGGGCCGACACUGACGCUGAUGCGCGAAAGCCAGGGGAGCAAACG
RNAcentral lists this ribosomal RNA (402 nucleotides) under uncultured bacterium. RNAcentral's name for it is "bacterial SSU rRNA". It matches the Rfam family "Bacterial small subunit ribosomal RNA", at positions 355 to 774 of the family's 1533-position model. The record is from RNAcentral.